Molecule: RNA transcript, 2950 nt
Organism: Lemur catta (Ring-tailed lemur)
Lineage: Eukaryota; Metazoa; Chordata; Mammalia; Primates; Lemuridae
Gene: TTI2
Gene name: TELO2 interacting protein 2
Exons: 9
Source: RefSeq, a predicted model, not a curated record
CCCAAUCAUCACGCUUAUGAACUACAAAAGGAUCAGCGUGGGAACGCUGUUAAGGAGCCCCAGGUCGUGAAAUGACGGGGCGUUACGGCAGUAUUGGCGGAAGCUGGCCUUGUGCUUUACGGCAGCAAUGUUAGCUGGGUCCGGAUCCUGCUAGUCACGGGCGUUCUGUGGGCAAGCCUGCAGGUACCUGUCCCUUGUGCUCGUGUCAUGGCUCAGGGGUUUAUUUCUUAAACUUUUAUUUUUUUUUCUUUUGAGACUUCAGAAAGGCUGUAGUAAUUUCUCCACUUCACUGUUACAAGCCUGAGACCCUGUUACCGGAGAGGUCCCUUUCCCUUUUCGGGGGUCCCUUCCCUUACACGCACUUUAUUGUUAUCCCGGUGAGACUCCCCGCUUCUCCAAGACGGCUCGCCGUUUCAUUUAAUUUGAUUUUAGUUGUUUAUGUUCUCUGGGAGAAGUCCAGCCUCCGGUGAUCUCUCUUUAGCGGGAUCACCUUUCCCUCUCUCCCUUCCUCCUCCCUCGUCCUCUGGGGGAGACCAGCCUUGGGUGCUGCCGCCUGAGGAAUGGAGCUUGACAGCGCGCGGGAGACCCGGCCGCGGGGGGGCUCUUCCUUGCCUGGAGACUGGUCUCCCUCCGCCCUUGGACAGGCCUUCUCGAAGGUUUUGCACCGUCUUACCGGCCAAGAGGCACGACUGGGCAAAGCAAGAGAUGCAGCUCUUAAAGACCUCGGCGCUCUAAUAGAAGACACAGAGUGUGAUAGAUUAUUUGAGGGGAGCGGCGCACCGCUCCGCGGAAUGCCGGAGAUACUAGGGCAGGUGGCAAAGGCUCUGGAGAAGUACGCAGCCCCACCUAAGGAGGAGGACAGUAGAGGUGAGGGUCACAAUCAAGUGGCCGAGAGGGCCACAGAAGUUGGGUUACUGUUUCUUAAGCUGUUGGGGAAAGUUGAGGCUUCCAAGAAUUCUCUGGUCUGCCCUGAAUGGAAGACGAGUCUCCGCCACUUGGCAGGACCCAUCUACAUUUUUGCCAUCACACACAGCUUGGAGCAACCGUGGACCAGCCCAAGAUCUCGGGAAGUUGCUAGAGAGGUCCUCACGUUACUGCUUCAAGUUACUGAAUGCGGUUCCGUGGCAGGAUUCCUACGCGGAGAAAAUGAAGAUGAGAAAGGGAGAUUUACUAUGAUAAUGGGACUUCUCAAACCCGAUUUGAAUAAGGAAUCCUGGAAGAAUAAUCCUGCCAUCAAACAUGUUUUCUCAUGGACUCUGCAACAGGUCACUCGACCCUGGCUGAACCAACAUCUGGAAAGGAUACUUCCCCCUUCAUUGCUUAUCUCAGAUGAUUAUCAAACUGAGAACAAAAUCCUGGGUGUACACUGCCUGCAUCACAUUGUGCUUAAUGUGCCAGCUGCUGAUUUGCUGCAGUAUAACAGAGCCCAGGUUCUAUACCAUGCCAUUUUCAACCACCUGUAUACACCGGAGCACCACCUCAUUCAGGUCGUGCUCCUGUGUCUGCUGGAUUUAUUCCCUGUCCUGGAGAAAGCCCAGCAGUGGAAGGGGGAUGGAGCUCGACCUACCACACACUGUGACGAGGUGCUGCAGCUGAUCCUGACCCACAUGGAGCCAGAGCACCGCCUUCUCUUACGCAGGACCUAUGCAAGACACCUACCGGCUUUCGUGAAGAGGUUGGGGAUCCUAACUGUCCGGCACAUGAAGAGGCUGGAGCGAGUGAUCACUGGUUAUCUGGAGAUCUAUGAUGGACCGGAGGAGGAGGCUAGAUUGAAGAUACUGGAAACUCUAAAACUUCUCAUGCAGCAUACUUGGCCCAGAAUUUCCUGCAGACUUGUGGUCUUAUUGAAGGCUCUCUUGAAACUGAUAUGUGACGUAGCAAGGGAUCAAAACCUUACCCCAGAGUCUGUUAAAAGUGCCUUGCUACGGGAGGCCACAGACUGCCUGAUUCUCCUGGACCACUGCUCCCAAGGACAGGUGAAGGGUCUCCUGGCCAACAUUCCCCAUAGCUGUGACGACAGCAAGGUGGUGAACUGUAUCAGAAAAGUGCAACAGGUUUCUGAAGGCGCUCCCUUCGAUGGAACUUAAGAUUUGUAUGACUUUCCCAAGAGGAAAGGAUUUUUCUUCUAUCUGAUUGUAUGAAUGGAGUUACUUCUGGAAAAAGCAUCUGAAGAGUCACUUUCUGUCUCCUGUUGUUCCAGGGCCUUGUCAAAGGCAUGGAUGGGGAAGUUGUAGAUGUCGCCAUACUGAAGAACAUAAACACAGAUUGGCUUUAACUACAUUUGGAUAUGACACUUGAAGUCCCACUGUCUGGCAAGCAUAUUCUUUUCUCUUCAAUGAUUAAAUGAGAAUACCUGAGUUGAGGGCUAAUAUUUCUAUGCUAUUUUCAAGCCUAGAGCCAGCAGUAUCCAAAAAACUCAUUGACAUUUAAAUAAUCAGUGGUUACUAUCAAAUAGGAAACGUCUAUGGAGGGUGGGACCAGAUCAUUUAAACUUUAGUAGUCUAUAAAACCUAUGCACGGGGACAAAUGUAAUUUUGCUGACAAGGGGAAAUAGUAAGGAAAAGGAUAUUUUAAUCAUGUCUGUAUAAAUGACACUAAUUUUAAGAAAGAUAAAAACUCAUUUUAAACUUAAAAGACUAUAUAAGGGAUACAAAACCCUGUGGCUUUUAUACAGAGAUCUGGAAUUGUUGCAUUUGGGAAUAGGAAUUAGGAAAAAUGGCAAAAAGGGAGAGGUCUCUUAUAGUGAAUGCAGUAUCAAGGGGAACCAAAGCAUUUUAUGUGCUGUAUCAAUGAACUAAAAUGAGGAAGCCAGACCUAUAUGGAUUUAUUUUAUUCCAGGGAUAAAAUCAUAGUUGGGAUCUCCCUAGCAUCUUAAAAAAUAAAAUACAUUUCCCAAUAUUUCCUAGCAUGAUACUACCACCUAAAGAAUAAAAUUUGUACCCGAAAACUA